Non-coding RNA from Delphinella strobiligena, 86 nucleotides. The record is from the annotation of a GenBank genome assembly. Lineage: Eukaryota; Fungi; Ascomycota; Dothideomycetes; Dothideales; Dothioraceae.
GCCCUGCUGGCGUAAUCGGUAGCGCAUAUGACUUCUACGAUUCUCGUGUCAUCAUAAGGUUGCAAGUUCGAGCCUUGCGUGGGGCU